This 497-nucleotide ribosomal RNA is filed under the name uncultured bacterium. RNAcentral describes it as "partial 16S ribosomal RNA". It matches the Rfam family "Bacterial small subunit ribosomal RNA", at positions 28 to 507 of the family's 1533-position model. The record is from RNAcentral.
GAUGAACGCUGGCGGCGUGCCUAAUACAUGCAAGUCGAGCGAACAGACGAGGCGCUUGCUCCUCUGUCGUUUGCGGCGGACGUGUGAGUAACACGUGUAUAACCUACCUAUAAGUCUGGUAUCACUUCGGGACACCGGAUCUUAUACCGUAUAAUCUAUUGCACCGCGUGGUUCAAUAGUGAAAGACGGUUUUGCUGUCACUUCUCGAUGGAUCCGCGCCGCAUUGUCUAGUUGGUAAGGUAAAGGCUUACCAAGGCGACGAUGCGUAGCCGACCUGAGAGGGUGAUCGGCCACACUGGAACGGAGACACGGUCCAGACUCCUACGGGAGGCAGCAGUAGGGAAUCUUGCGCAAUGGGCGAAAGCCUGACGGAGCAACGCCGCGUGAGUGAUGAAGGUCUUCGGAUCGUAAAACUCUGUUAUUAGGGAAGAACAAAUGUGUAAGUAACUAUGCACGUCUUGACGGUACCUAAUCAGAAAGCCACGGCUAACUACGUG